RNAcentral lists this non-coding RNA (22 nucleotides) under Arabidopsis thaliana (thale cress). Lineage: Eukaryota; Viridiplantae; Streptophyta; Magnoliopsida; Brassicales; Brassicaceae. The record is from RNAcentral.
UCGGUAGCUGAAAUGAAUGUUG